This 205-nucleotide unclassified non-coding RNA is filed under the name Hevea brasiliensis (rubber tree). Lineage: Eukaryota; Viridiplantae; Streptophyta; Magnoliopsida; Malpighiales; Euphorbiaceae. The record is from RNAcentral.
GAAGAUUCCACAUAUCUGAUCUCACUCCAGGUACAGAGUACAUGUUCAGAGUAAUCCCGUUUGAGAAUGCACGGGAGUUAGCAAAGUGGGAAGUCGGAGUAAACACUGAAACCAUGUCCUCGACAAGACCGCAAUGUGGAAAUCAGAAAACAAACAGCAGUUGCCUAUCGAACCUUUCUUCGGAAGAAUCUAACACUAAUGCUUU